This is a long non-coding RNA of Leptopilina boulardi, 579 nucleotides long. RefSeq lists it as uncharacterized. The transcript has 2 exons. The record is from RefSeq and is a predicted model, not a curated record. Lineage: Eukaryota; Metazoa; Arthropoda; Insecta; Hymenoptera; Figitidae.
UCCUAAUUAUCCAGGGGGCAAAUAUCUUAAUACUCAAGAGUGUACCUCUCCCUUUUUUUCUUCCACCUCUUUUCGAUUUUUCCAACUUUCCCCCCCACUUUUUUUUUUCUCUUUACUGUCUCCCCUCCCUUUAACCUGUCUUGACAAUCUUACCUCAUUUUUUUUUUUUUUUUUGCCAUGAAUAACCUUUUGUAUUUCCAAUUAGCUUUGCUAAUAAGAAGAAAAAUGGAGGCAUUGCUUCUGCAGUUAAAAAAAAAAGACGACCAAGACACGAGAAUAAAGAAAAAAAAAAAAAAAAAUUAAUGUAUAACCUCAUCCAGCCACUGGGGAAAUAAAGAAAAGCACUGCCAUUGCUCGUGGUUAUAUGACAAUACUGUGAGGUGGUGGUUGGUUGCUCGAGUUAUUACAGAUAAACUAGAAUUAAGAGAAUCGGCUACUCCGCAGGACCCUUUUGUUAUGUAUCACAGCAAUGUCAAAUUAAGGUGACUGUGUAUAUCGACAAGUUUAUGAUCAUUUUCAAUCAGUUUACGAAAAGCUUCGUAUAUAUCAAGACAUGACAAGUCUAUAAAAUUAUUUCGU